GCCGCCAUAGCUCAUCUGGUAGAGCACCUGUUUAGUAAUCAGGGGGUGAGGGGUUCGAGUCCUCUUGGUGGCAC
This 74-nucleotide transfer RNA is filed under the name Microbacterium phage Musetta. RNAcentral describes it as "tRNA-Thr". It matches the Rfam family "tRNA". Rfam says of the family: Transfer RNA (tRNA) molecules are approximately 80 nucleotides in length. Their secondary structure includes four short double-helical elements and three loops (D, anti-codon, and T loops). The record is from RNAcentral. Lineage: Duplodnaviria; Heunggongvirae; Uroviricota; Caudoviricetes. RNAcentral also lists the same sequence under 8 other names.